AGUCGAGCGAACGACGAGGAGCUUGCUCCUCUGACGUUAGCGGCGGACGGGUGAGUAACACGUGGAUAACCUACCUAUAAGACUGGGAUAACUUCGGGAAACCGGAGCUAAUACCGGAUAAUAUAUUGAACCGCAUGGUUCAAUAGUGAAAGACGGUUUUGCUGUCACUUAUAGAUGGAUCCGCGCCGCAUUAGCUAGUUGGUAAGGUAACGGCUUACCAAGGCAACGAUGCGUAGCCGACCUGAGAGGGUGAUCGGCCACACUGGAACUGAGACACGGUCCAGACUCCUACGGGAGGCAGCAGUAGGGAAUCUUCCGCAAUGGGCGAAAGCCUGACGGAGCAACGCCGCGUGAGUGAUGAAGGUCUUCGGAUCGUAAAACUCUGUUAUUAGGGAAGAACAAAUGUGUAAGUAACUAUGCACGUCUUGACGGUACCUAAUCAGAAAGCCACGGCUAACUACGUGCCAGCAGCCGCGGUAAUACGUAGGUGGCAAGCGUUAUCCGGAAUUAUUGGGCGUAAAGCGCGCGUAGGCGGUUUUUUAAGUCUGAUGUGAAAGCCCACGGCUCAACCGUGGAGGGUCAUUGGAAACUGGAAAACUUGAGUGCAGAAGAGGAAAGUGGAAUUCCAUGUGUAGCGGUGAAAUGCGCAGAGAUAUGGAGGAACACCAGUGGCGAAGGCGACUUUCUGGUCUGUAACUGACGCUGAUGUGCGAAAGCGUGGGGAUCAAACAGGAUUAGAU
This 740-nucleotide ribosomal RNA is filed under the name Staphylococcus sp. HGH0013. RNAcentral describes it as "bacterial SSU rRNA". It matches the Rfam family "Bacterial small subunit ribosomal RNA", at positions 60 to 783 of the family's 1533-position model. The record is from RNAcentral. Lineage: Bacteria; Bacillati; Bacillota; Bacilli; Caryophanales; Staphylococcaceae.